UCAUGUAAACAAAAUGGAGGUUAUAUCUAAUUUCUUUAUACAUGUAGUUCUAAACUUAAUCUGUGUAUCUCCUAUAUCGGACAGCAAAAUGUGUGGAUCAGGAAAAUGCUGUGUUGGUUACAGGCUGCACAAUAACCAGUGUACAGAAUGUGAAGCUGGAACGUAUGGUAUAAACUGCAUUCUAACAUGUCCUGAUGGAUAUUAUGGCAGACUUUGUAAAGAAGCGUGUUCUCGAGCUUGUAAUGAAAGCUGCGACAAGGUCGAUGGGAAAUGUUCAGUGGUAGAGGAGACAACACAACGAGUAACUCACAGUGUGUUGACUACGAGAGGUCAGGAAAGGGACGAAUUGAUGAAUACUGUUAAACCUGGACUCCUCUUCUCACAAUAUAUACAAAGCGUGGUUAUCGUUUUAUCAUUGGUUGCCAUCGUGUAAGUAUGCAACAUUUCUCACAUAUUAGCAAUAUAUUUAUAUACUUCGUUAUAAGGGUAAAGAGUAGAACUGUGGCUUUGGGUUAGAGGGUACAAGUUAGUAAGUGGCGAGAACUUUUGUCCUGACCUUAUUUGAUGUCAAUGAAAUAUGUUCAAAACAAGUUUAGAGGGUAUUAAACAUUUAUUAAGCAGAGUUUACCAAUUAGAAGUUGUAAUUUGCAUGUGAAUUAUUUCAAAAUCAUAAGAACCCGGGUCAUUAAUUUUUUAUUUUUUUUUUUUUUUGUGAAUGAAACAAAGCUUUAAUUUUCUUGGAAGGUGACGAUUACGAACAGUGAUCAAUCUUAUAACUCCUAUAAGCAAUAUAAAAUCGAAAGUUGUGUAAAACGGACCCCUGGAUAUACCAGAGUAACCGCACCCGCCAUGAGCCCUAUAUCUUGAUCAGGUAAACAGAGUUAUCCGUAGUCAAAAUUAGUGUGCCAAGAACGACCUAACAAUCGGUAUGAAACACGUCAGACAGCAAGUGUGCAAAUUUAUUUGAUUAUGUGUACCAAAUGGCUUAUGCAGAAUCCCAUGUACUAACGAAGAAUGGCUGUUAUAAAUUUUUAUAAAUCACAACUGUAAACCUAUUUUUCUGUUUC
Long non-coding RNA from Ostrea edulis (European flat oyster), 1067 nucleotides. RefSeq lists it as uncharacterized. The record is from RefSeq and is a predicted model, not a curated record. Lineage: Eukaryota; Metazoa; Mollusca; Bivalvia; Ostreida; Ostreidae. The transcript has 5 exons.